This 253-nucleotide ribosomal RNA is filed under the name uncultured bacterium. RNAcentral's name for it is "partial 16S ribosomal RNA". It matches the Rfam family "Bacterial small subunit ribosomal RNA", at positions 524 to 776 of the family's 1533-position model. The record is from RNAcentral.
UACGUAGGGUGCGAGCGUUACUCGGAAUUACUGGGCGUAAAGCGUGCGCAGGCGGUUUUGUAAGCCAGAUGUGAAAUCCCCGGGCUUAACCUGGGAAUGGCAUUUGGGACUGCAAGGCUUGAGUGCGGCAGAGGAGACUGGAAUUCCCGGUGUAGCAGUGAAAUGCGUAGAUAUCGGGAGGAACAUCAGUGGCGAAGGCGGCCUUCUGGUCCAGUACUGACACUCAAGUGCGAAAGCGUGGGGAGCAAACAGG